This 465-nucleotide ribosomal RNA is filed under the name uncultured bacterium. Its description in RNAcentral is "bacterial SSU rRNA". It matches the Rfam family "Bacterial small subunit ribosomal RNA", at positions 338 to 795 of the family's 1533-position model. The record is from RNAcentral.
CCUACGGGUUGCAGCAGUGGGGAAUAUUGCACAAUGGGCGCAAGCCUGAUGCAGCCAUGCCGCGUGUAUGAAGAAGGCCUUCGGGUUGUAAAGCACUUUUAGCGAGGAGGAAGGUGGUGAGCUUAAUACGCUCAUCAAUUGACGUUACUCGCAGAAGAAGCACCGGCUAACUCCGUGCCAGCAGCCGCGGUAAUACGGAGGGUGCAAGCGUUAAUCGGAAUUACUGGGCGUAAAGCGCACGCAGGCGGUUUGUUAAGUCAGAUGUGAAAUCCCCGGGCUCAACCUGGGAACUGCAUUUGAAACUGGCAAGCUAGAGUCUCGUAGAGGGGGGUAGAAUUCCAGGUGUAGCGGUGAAAUGCGUAGAGAUCUGGAGGAAUACCGGUGGCGAAGGCGGCUCCCUGGACGAAGACUGACGCUCAGGUGCGAAAGCGUGGGGAGCAAACGGGAUUAGAUACCCGUGUAGUC